UUAAGUUCAGCGGGUAUCCCUACCUGAUCCGAGGUCAAAGACGGUAAAUGUGCUUGUUGGACGCGAACCGGAGCCCCUCAAGAAGCGCAAUGUGCUGCGCGAGAGGAGGCAAGGACCGCUGCCAAUGAAUUUGGGGCGAGUCCACGCGCGGAGGCGGGACAGACGCCCAACACCAAGCAGAGCUUGAGGGUGUAGAUGAC
Molecule: unclassified non-coding RNA, 200 nt
Filed under: Ascomycota sp.
Lineage: Eukaryota; Fungi; Ascomycota
Description: partial internal transcribed spacer 2
Source: RNAcentral